GAUUAACGCUGGCGGCGUGCCUAACACAUGCGAGUCGAGCGGCAGCGAGUUUUACACUGAAUUCUGGAAGCUUCUAGUUGAAAGAGAAGAUUUAUUCAAGAAUUUUGUGUAAAAUGUCGGCGAGCGGCGGACGGCUGAGUAACGCGUGGGAACGUACCCCAAAGUGAGGGAUAACGCAUCGAAAGGUGUGCUAAUACCGCAUAUGGUCUUCGGAUUAAAGCCUUCGGGCGCUUUGGGAACGGCCUGCGUAAGAUUAGAUAGUUGGUGGGGUAAUGGCCUACCAAGUCGACGAUCUUUAACUGGUUUGAGAGGAUGAUCAGUCAGACUGGAACUGAGACACGGUCCAGACUCCUACGGGAGGCAGCAGUGAGGAAUCUUCCACAAUGGGCGAAAGCCUGAUGGAGCAACGCCGCGUGCAGGAUGAAGGCCUUCGGGUUGUAAACUGCUUUUAUAAGUGAGGAUUAUGACAGUAACUUAUGAAUAAGGAUCGGCUAACUACGU
RNAcentral lists this ribosomal RNA (501 nucleotides) under uncultured bacterium. RNAcentral describes it as "partial 16S ribosomal RNA". It matches the Rfam family "Bacterial small subunit ribosomal RNA", at positions 28 to 506 of the family's 1533-position model. The record is from RNAcentral.